CUCAGUAACACGUGGAUAACCUGCCCUUAGGAUUGGCAUAACACCGGGAAACUGGUGAUAAUACCGAAUAGACCAUUUAUGCUGGAAUGCUUUUUGGUUCAAAGGCUUCGGCUGCCUAAGGAUGGAUCUGCGGCCUAUCAGGUAGUAGUGGGUGUAAUGUACCUACUAGCCUACGACGGGUACGGGUUGUGAGAGCAAGAGCCCGGAGAUGGAUUCUGAGACAUAAAUCCAGACCCUACGGGGUGCAGCAGGCGCGAAAUCUUUACAAUGCGGGAAACCGCGAUAAGGGGACACUGAGUGCCAGCAUAUUAUGUUGGCUGUCCACAUGUCUAAAAACCAUGUGUUAGCAAGGGCCGGGCAAGACCGGUGCCAGCCGCCGCGGUAACACCGGCGGCCCGAGUGGUGAUCACUUUUAUUGGGUCUAAAGGGUCCGUAGCCGGUUUAAUCAGUCUUCUGGGAAAUCUGACAGCUCAAUUGUUAGGCUUUCAGGGGAUACUGUUAAGCUUGGGACCGGGAGAGGUAAGAGGUACUACAGGGGUAGGAGUGAAAUCUUGUAAUCCCUGUGGGACCGCCGGUGGCGAAGGCGUCUUACCAGAACGGGUCCGACGGUGAGGGACGAAAGCUGGGGGCACGAACCGGAUUAGAUACCCGGGUAGUCCCAGCUGUAAACGAUGUUCGCUAAGUGUCAGGGACGGUGCGACCGUUUCUGGUGCCGUAGGGAAGCCGUGAAGCGAACCACCUGGGAAGUACGGCCGCAAGGCUGAAACUAAA
This 771-nucleotide ribosomal RNA is filed under the name uncultured archaeon. RNAcentral describes it as "bacterial SSU rRNA". It matches the Rfam family "Archaeal small subunit ribosomal RNA", at positions 89 to 859 of the family's 1478-position model. The record is from RNAcentral.